This 253-nucleotide ribosomal RNA is filed under the name uncultured bacterium. RNAcentral describes it as "partial 16S ribosomal RNA". It matches the Rfam family "Bacterial small subunit ribosomal RNA", at positions 524 to 776 of the family's 1533-position model. The record is from RNAcentral.
UACGGAGGAUCCGAGCGUUAUCCGGAUUUAUUGGGUUUAAAGGGCGCGUAGGCGGACUGGUAAGUCAGUUGUGAAAGUUUAGGGCUCAACCGUGAAAUUGCAGGUGAUACUGUUGGUCUUGAGUAUACAUGAGGUGGGCAGAAUUUGUGGUGUAGCGGUGAAAUGCUUAGAUAUCACGAGGAACUCCAAUUGCGAAGGCAGCUCACUGGAGUAUAACUGACGCUGAUGCACGAAGGUGUGGGUAUCAAACAGG